AUGAGCACCCAGGCCGACGUGGUAACUGGUUAUUACGUGGGACCAUAUAUGUUCAUGGCGUUGGCCAUGCAGCAGCAGGUGGCCGAGAUGUCAUACACCAGCGUGAAUGGAACCACGUUGACAUACUACCGCGCCGAGAACGGUCAGCAGUCAGGGAAGCUCGUUAGCCAACGCGGCAAAUGGUACACCGAGCAGGCGGUUGAUCCGGUGCCCGGUCCCAUCGACGAGGCCGGAGCACCUACCCAACGCGACACAGCUCCUCGCCGCUGCCAACAGCGGCUCGCCCGUGGCGCUCUGGGCCGGGUGGGUUCACUCCAGCGUCCAGGUGAUGGUCUUCUCCGCGCCGCUCGGCCAGACCGCCGUGGUCUCCGCCGCCGUCCCCGUCGACGUCCUGACGAUUACUACGCGAUCACCGACAAGCGCAGUGGCACGGCGUCGGUUUAUAAGCCUUUGGCCGGUGGGAGGCCCGGCCACGACGCGGAGCUGAUGAAGACCUUGUUCUCGGAUACCAACUGCACCGCGUCCGCCAUUAACAAGCCCGAUAUCGGAGUCUGGCUAGUGCUCAGCGAGUGGAGCGGGGCAACCAAGGUCCGACGGAUCGGGGUGGCCAUCCUGUGCAUCAUGUGUGCAGUCACGAUACUGGCAAUGGUAGUGUGCUUCCUCAUGGCACGCGUGUUGUGGAAGGUCGGGGUGCGGGAGGUCGCGCUAGAGGCCGAGCUAGCACAACAGAAGAAAGCGCUCCAGCAAACGGAGCGCAAGAGCAUGAACAAGAGCAAUGCCUUCGCCCGCGCUAGCCACAACAUCUGCUCCUCGCUCGCUGCUGUCGCCGGACUCAUCGAGAUCUCCCGGUUGGAGGCCCGCGGCAACACCAACCUCACCUAUAACCUCAACCAGAUGGAUGUCGGCACCAAUAAGCUCUUCGAUAUUCUUAACACGAUACUCGACAUGGGCAAGUUGGAUUCCGGGAAGAUACAGCUAGAAGAGGUAGAGUUCAGGAUGGCACAUGUCCUCGAGGAAUCCAUGGACCUGGCGAAUGUUGUUGGGAUGUCAAGAGGUGUCGAGGUGAUCUGGGACCCUUGCAACUUCUCCGUGAUCCGGUGCACCGCCGCCGUCGGUGACUGUAAGCGUGUCAAGCAGAUCCUUGACAACCUUCUCGGCAACGCCAUCAAGUUCACGCACGAAGGCCAUGUCAUGCUCCGUGCGUGGGCCAACCGCCCCAUCAUAAGGGGCUCCAUGAUUAGCACCUCGUCGAAGUUUGCCUCCCGCCGUCGCGUCGGUGGGGUCUUCGGUUGGCUGCUUGGAAGAAGUGAGAAUUGUGCCGAACAGAAUGGCGGCUUGUCCCUGAAAAUCGAUCCCGAUUCGGUUGAGUUUUAUUUUGAGGUUGUUGACACUGGUGUGGGGAUACCCGGAGAGAAGAGGGAGUAUGUGUUUGAGAACUACGUUCAAGUGAAGGAUGGGCAUGGUGGCACCGGGCUCGGACUUGGAAUUGUGCAAUCAUUUGUUCGUCUGAUGGGAGGGGAGAUAAGCAUCAAGGACAAGGAGCCAGGAGAAGCGGGAACGUGCUUUGGCUUCAACGUGUUCCUGAAGGCCAGCGAGAGUUCAGAGGUUGAAGACAACCUCGAGGAAGGGCGGGCGGCGCCUUCUUUGUUCAGGGAGCCCGCCUGCUUCAAGGGCGGGCACUGCGUCCUCCUCGUCCACAGCAACGAGACCCGUCGGAUCCUGCACGCAUGGAUGGAGAGCGUCGGGAUGAAGGUCUGGCCAGUCUCGUGCGCCGAGCUCCUCGCCCCGACCAUCGAUAAGGUGUGCUCCACCUUCAGCAGCUCGUCGUCAAGGCCGGCGUCGAUGUGGUCGCUGCACAGCGCUAGAGGCGACGACUUGCACGACACCGUAGAUCGUUGCCUCGUCUCCAAGGAGAUGGCCAGCCACCUGCGGAGCAGCGGGGGCAUGGGGGGCAACCACGCCGGGCACCUCCACGCCUUCAGCCUGCUCGUCGUCGUCGACGUCUCCGCUGGGAGGCUCCAUGAGGCCGCCCGCGAGGCGGCGAGCUUGGCGAGGACCAAGCUCCAGGCGUCGUGCAAGGUCGUCUGCCUGACGGACCUUAAGACCCCCUCUGAGGAUCUGAGGAGGUUCAAGGAGGCGAGCAGCUUCGACCUCGAGCUACGCAAGCCCAUCCACGGCUCUCGGCUGCACAAGCUCCUCCAGGUCAUGAGAGACCUCCAGGAAUCCCCUUUCGAGCACCCGCACCCAUAUCAGUUCGAGAUGUCGGCGGCAGAUCAGACCACUGCGCCGGCGUCCGAGAUUACGCCCGCAAUGCCCGUCGGACCAGCCAAUGUUGGAGACUGCAAGCCACUGAAGGGGAUGCGCGUGCUGCUGGUGGACGACACCAUGCUUCUGCAGAGAAUCCACGGGAAGAUGUUGAGCGAUCUCGGAGCAGCCGUGGAGAUUGCAGGCGACGGCUCCGUGGCUCUUGCCAUGUUCACAGAAGCUCUUCGGAAUGCCUUUCCCUAUGAUGUGGUCCUCAUGGAUUGCCAGAUGCCGGUGAUGAAUGGCUAUGAGGCGACGAGGCGCAUCCGCGAGGAAGAAAGCCGCCACGGCGUCCGCACCCCGAUCAUCAUGCUGACUGCGAAUUCCGUAGAAGAGGGGCUGCAGGAGGCCGUCGAAGCUGGAAUGGAUCUUCACCUGAGAAAGCCGAUACCAAAGCCGAAGAUCGUAGGGGUUGUUCUUGAGCUCUGCAAACAAGACAAGAACUGGUGA
Molecule: ribosomal RNA, 2754 nt
Filed under: Triticum aestivum (bread wheat)
Lineage: Eukaryota; Viridiplantae; Streptophyta; Magnoliopsida; Poales; Poaceae
Description: partial small subunit ribosomal RNA
Source: RNAcentral